AGUAAAUCUGCUGAUGCCACCAGCACACCGUUGAAACAUGACAAUACCAUGAAAAUUAUGGAGGAUGCAAACACAUCUGAUGUGGUGUGGCAGGGAACAGAAAGUCUUAACUAUACUAAAGAUGAGGCUGAUGGCGAAGAUGAAGAGUUUUUGAACCCGAAUAACCAUGCUGACUAGUUGAUUUAUAAUUGUGUUUCCUGUGAAGUAUGUUAUUGUGUUAUAGUUAACUGUGUUUCCACUUUGAUACUCAUUUGCAUUUCCAGUUUGAUUGGUGUUUCAUAUGUAAUUGUGUUUCUUGUUCAAUACUUGACAAAAUUCAGUGAACUAUUGUGGCAUUGAUCAAUAGUUUGAUAUGUAAUUGUGUUUCUUAUCUGAUACUUGUAUUCGUAUUUCCAGUUUGAAUCAUAAUGGCGUUUCAUGUGUUUCUUGUUCGAUGACUGUGAACUAUUGUCAUUGAUCAAUAGUUUGAUAUGUAAUUGUGUUUAUCUGAUACUUGUAUUCGUAUUUCCUGUUAAAUUCAUAAUGGUGUUUCUUGUGUUUCUUGUUCAAUACUUCAGUGAACUAUUGUGUAUCAAUAGUUUGAUAUGUAAUUGUGUUUCUUAUCUGAUACUUGUAUUCGUAUUUCCAGUUUGAAUCAUAAUGGUGUUUCAUGCGUUUCUUGUUCGAUAUUUGUCAGGACUCUGUGAACUAUUCUGUCAUUGAUCAAUAGUUUGAUAUGUAAUUGUGUUUAUCUGAUACUUGUAUUCGUAUUUCCUGUUAAAUUCAUAAUGGUGAUUCAUGUGUUUCUUGUUCAAUACUUCAGUGAACUAUUGUGUAUCAAUAGUUUGAUAUGUAAUUGUGUUUCUUAUCUGAUACUUGUGUUCGUAUUUCCAGUUUGAAUCAUAAUGGUGUUUCAUGUGUUUCUUGUUCGAUAUUUGUCAGGACUCUGUGAACUAUUCUGUCAUUGAUCAAUAGUUUGAUAUGUAAUUGUGUUUAUCUGAUACUUGUAUUUGUAUUUCCUGUUAAAUUCAUAAUGGUGUUUCAUGUGUUUCUUGUUCAAUACUUCAGUGAACUAUUGUGUAUCAAAAGUUUGAUGUGUAAUUGUGUUUCUUGUUUGAUACUAUAGUAUUUGUAUUUCCAGUUUGAAUCAUAAUGGUGUUUCAUGCGUUUCUUGUUCGAUACUUGUCAGGACUCAGUGAACUAUUCUGUCAUUGAUCAGUAGUUUGAUAGGUAUGUGUUUCUUAUCUGAUACUUGUAUUCGUAUUUCCAGUUAGAUUCAUUAAGGUGUUUCAUGUGUUUCUUGUUCGAUAUUUGUCAGGGCUCAGUGAACUAUUCUGUCAUUGAUAAUAGUUUGACAUGUAAUUGUGAUUGUAGAUUACUUGAGACGGCUCAUACAUGUUACAAGUUCUUUCU
Thrips palmi is the source of this 1392-nucleotide long non-coding RNA. RefSeq lists it as uncharacterized. NCBI's taxonomy places the organism in Eukaryota, Metazoa, Arthropoda, Insecta, Thysanoptera, Thripidae. The record is from RefSeq and is a predicted model, not a curated record. The transcript is spliced from 2 exons.